UACAGAGGUGGCAAGCGUUGUUCGGAAUUACUGGGCGUAAAGGGCGCGUAGGCGGUUCGUUAAGUCCUGUGUGAAAUCCCCCGGCUCAACUAGGGAACUGCACAGGAAACUAGCGGGCUUGAGUUCGGGAGAGGGAAGCGGAAUUCCGGGUGUAGCGGUGAAAUGCGUAGAUAUCCGGAGGGACACCGGUGGCGAAGGCGGCUUCCUGGACCGACACUGACGCUGAGGCGCGAAAGCUAGGGGAGCAAACGGG
Molecule: ribosomal RNA, 253 nt
Filed under: uncultured bacterium
Lineage: Bacteria
Description: partial 16S ribosomal RNA
Rfam family: Bacterial small subunit ribosomal RNA
Source: RNAcentral